UGCUCCUACGGGGGGCAGCAGUGGGGAAUAUUGCACAAUGGGGGGAACCCUGAUGCAGCAAUGCCGCGUGGGUGAGGAAGCACUCCGGUGCGUAAAGCCCUGUCAGCAGGGAAGAAAUAGCGACCUUUGGGUCGCCAGACGGUACCUGACUAAGAAGCCCCGGCUAACUACGUGCCAGCAGCCGCGGUAAUACGUAGGGGGCAAGCGUUAUCCGGAUUUACUGGGUGUAAAGGGAGCGUAGACGGCAGCACAAGUCUGAAGUGAAAUGCCGGGGCUUAACCCCGGAACUGCUUUGGAAACUGUGC
Molecule: ribosomal RNA, 305 nt
Filed under: uncultured bacterium
Lineage: Bacteria
Description: bacterial SSU rRNA
Rfam family: Bacterial small subunit ribosomal RNA
Source: RNAcentral